GCGGGUGUAGCUCAGUUGGUAGAGCGACAGCCUUCCAAGCUGUAGGUCGCGGGUUCGAGCCUCGUCACCCGCU
Molecule: non-coding RNA, 73 nt
Organism: Flammeovirga sp. MY04
Lineage: Bacteria; Pseudomonadati; Bacteroidota; Cytophagia; Cytophagales; Flammeovirgaceae
Source: Rfam